Molecule: long non-coding RNA, 368 nt
Organism: Musa acuminata AAA Group (dessert banana)
Lineage: Eukaryota; Viridiplantae; Streptophyta; Magnoliopsida; Zingiberales; Musaceae
Exons: 3
Source: RefSeq, a predicted model, not a curated record
GUGCACCUCGGCCUCCAUCAUUGCAGGCAGGCUUGCAGCUGCCACCAUGAAAGCUCGAGUGCAGCAGAAGUUGGAAUUCUGAAUGCCAAAGGCGUGCCUUGAAUCGGAAACCUUAUUCUGGUGACUUGGUUAAUGCUUCGUGGAUUCCGGCCACAUGCUCAUAAAUGAAGAUGACAAGAACCGAAAGAAACCCAACUGCAGGCACACAUCAAGAUGUAGACGGGGAUGAUCACAUCCAAUCAAAUGCUUCCCCUCCUCUCGAGAGAAGUCAUCAGAGCUUCCCUCUCGGAUAAAGCCUAGAUCGAUCGCUAGAAGAAGAAGAAGAAGAAGAAGUACAGAAAGAUUCACAGCACUCGAGCAAAAGGGAC